Molecule: small RNA, 126 nt
Filed under: Marmota monax (woodchuck)
Lineage: Eukaryota; Metazoa; Chordata; Mammalia; Rodentia; Sciuridae
Source: RNAcentral
GCCAGGCAUGGUGGUGCACACCUGUAAUCCCAGCAGCUUGGGAGGCUGAGGCAGGAGGAUCACAGGUUCAAAGCCAGCCUCAGCAAAAAGCAAGACACUAAGCAACUCAGUAAGAACCUGUCUCUA